GCUGGAGGCAGGUGCCCACAGUGGCCACGUCACAGUGAGACUGCAGCCCUGAGCCUACCACGUGUGGUCAGCUGGAGAGGGCAGUGCCCAGGGAGCUCAGAGCUGCAUGCACAGUGUCCCGAGUGCCAGAUCAGAAGGGUGAGGAGACGUGGAUCAGGCUUCCCCGGCCAUCAGACACUGGGGGUGUUGGGGGUCCCAGGAGCACCCCAUACCCCAGGAAGUGCUGCUUUCUGAGGGAAAGAGCCCUUGCUGAGGAGUCCAAGGGGCUCUGGUCCCACUCAGCAGCCUGGGACCCCGGGGCCUCAGGUGUCUCUGCCGCUAUCAGAUCCCUCCUCCUUGGAGUCAACAAGAACCAGCGUGCAGCCAGCUCUGGGCUUCGCAGGGGUUCAGUGGUAAAGAAUCUGCCUGCAAUGCAGGAGACGUGGGUUCGAUCCCUGGGUCGGGAAGAUUCCCUGGAGAAGGAAAUGGCAACCCACUGCAGUAUUCUUGCCUGGAGAAUCCCAUGGACAGAGGAGUCCAGCGGGCUACAGUCCAUGCGGUUGCAAAAGAGUUGAAUGUGACUUAGCAACUGAGCACCAACAACAGCCAGUUCUGCACAGACUGUAUGACCUCGGGGAAGAUGCUGGGCUGUUCCCCACUGGCCCUUCCAGCUCUGUGCCCCGGAAGCUGGCCUAAAGCUGCACUGGUGGGCUCCCUCACCGUCUGGCUUCAGCUGGACGAGAGGAGAAUGUGGCCUGGAUGCCCUCCCUGCUGGACUGGGGCUUGGCAGUGGCAGAUGUCUCUCCCAGAGGCCCUUGGCUCCUCGUGGGCAGCUGUCUCCUCCGGUUACGGCACAUACCAGAUCCCAGAGGCCUAGAGCGGCAACAGCCCCCUGCUUUGCAGGCUCUGGGUGCCCACCGGCCCUUGUGGGUCCCCCAACUCUGCUCACACGUCUGUACAUUGUCUUUUCAUCAAGCCCUUCAGCCCCUGUUCUGCAUGUGUCUUCUGCCUCUGAACUGCCUGCAAUAUCACUGAACCCUCUUAGCUUGUUUCCCCAUCCUUCUGCUGGGGACCAUGAUGACAUCUGCCUCUAGAAGCUGGAAGAGACAAGGAAACGGAUUCUUUCCUAGAGUGAUGCAAAGGAACGCUGCUUUGUAGACACCUUGGUUUAGCCCAGACACUGAUUUUGGAGAUCUGACCUCUGGGCUGUAAGAAGAUAAACUUUCGUUGUUUUAAGCCACAACGUUUGUGGCCAUUUGUUACAGCGGCCAUAGGAUACUGCUACACGGGUCCAGGCCCCAGAUAAGCAGUGACUGUAAUAAAUUCUGGGCUCUUCCCCAGCUCCAGCUGAACAUUCCAGGAGCAGCUGCUCAGGGGCAACCUGACCGUGACCUCCCAGAACCUCAGUGUCUUCAUUUUGGCCUAGGAGGCACAUGUGUUUUUUUUUUUUUUCCCCUGCCAGGGUGAAAUGCUGACAACAAAUUAUGUCUCAAGGGUUUCAGACUCCAGUGUUAUCAGGAGCCUGAGUAACAUGGCAAGUCGCCUGAGUGAGUGGGAUGGUGUGAAGCAGUGGGGAGUGGUGGGCCUGUGGCAAACUGGAGAACUCACACCUUGCUUAAAGACAUCAACUUUACGACUUCCCCAGCUUCCCUGGUGGCUCAGAUGGUAAAGUGUCUGCCUGCAAUGCGAGAGACCUGGGUUCGAUCCCUGGGUGGAGAAGAUCCCCUGGAGAAGGAAAUGGAAACCCACUCCAGUACUCUUGCCUGGAAAAUUCCAUGGACGGAGGAGCCUGGUAGGCUACAGUCCAUGGGGUUGCAAAGAGUCAGACAAGACAAAGCGAGUUUGCUUUCACUUUAGGACUUCCCUGGUGGUCCAGUGGUUGAGAAUCCACCUGCCAAUGGAGGGGACAUGGGUUCGAUCCCUGGUCAGGGAAGACCCGUGAGGCAGCUGGCCUGCGCACCACCACCACUGAGCCCACGCUCUGGAGCCUGAGCGUUUCAACAGCUGAGGUCUGCUUGCUCGAGAGCCCACACACCAAAAUUAGAGAAAGCCCAGGCACAACAACAAACACCCAGCACAGCCAGAUAAAUAAUUUUAAAAAAAGAUAUCCACUUUAAGUGACAGGAAGAGCAAUAAAUCCAGCCAAACAAAGUCAACAUCUUAUCUGUCCACGUGGCUUACGGACUAGGACUUUGGGAUCCCAUAUUCACCUUCUAGUUUCACAGUGACUCCAAGGGGAGGUGCUCCACAGGGUAGGGAGAGGCCCUGAAUAUGAUGAGGGUGAGCCUUGGCUGCCCCUUAGAGUCACCCUUCCCCUACCCCAGACCUCUACCACAUCUAGCCUCUGUUUCCUAAAAGGGGAUUUUGAUACAGAAUCUGGUGAGAGCCAUUGGGCCCGCUGGCUCACUGGCAUCGCCUCACCUCCAUCAUCCUUUCCCACCCACACAAAACUCUCACAGUGCCCCCUGGAGAAGUCGGUCCAUUAGCCCUGGGGCACCACCUCUCACCUUCCUCUCCAACAUGGGAGGAACUUGUGUGGAAUAACCAAAAGUCUACUACUGUUGGGUCAAGCUCUAACCAAUCCAAACCACAGGUUGGGGAGUAGGAGACACAGAAAAGAGGGGCACUGUCCCCCCAAAAUGAUGAGAACAAAGAUGUCCUGGUAGAGACCAUGAGUUUUGGAGUCAGACAGACCUGGGUGAGUCCCCACUUCACCACAUACUAGCUGUGUGGCUUCAGGAAACAUAUUUGACCACUCUGAGCCUCAGUUGUCACAUCUUUAAAAUUGGAAUAACAUUAAUAAUACCUCUUUGCAUUGUUGCUGUGAGAACUAAAUCAAAUAAUGUAUGUGAGGGGUGGUCCCUGGCCUACAGGAGGGACUCCGCUCAGACUCUGGACCCAGACAACUUGGGUUAGAGAUCCCUUUAGUGGUUGCGUGACCUUGGCAAGUUACCUCAUGUGGCGUUCUCAUCUCACAUGUGGGUUCACUGGUGUCCUCACAGGGCUGUCGGGAGGAUGAGGUCAAGGGUGUGAGACCUUGCCUGGACUUCGUAAGGACUCCGUGAGCCCACGAAUUAUUUACUAGGUGUGUUCUGACAUUGGUGGGUGUGUGUCUCCCGUACCCGGUGGGCCCUGGCAUGUGUUUCUGGGAUGUGAAGUCAGAGCCUGUUUCCUGGUUGUCGGGAGAGGCUGACCACAUUCUACCUAUACCUGCCUGUCUAGUUCCUUCUCCCGUUCCUCACCCCACCUCCAAAUCUUCCACCCUCUUCAUCUCCUGUCCCCCAGCUGCUGUCUGUGACUUUCCCCAGACACCUCUCUGGUAGCCCCCAAGCCUGGGGUUGCAGGGCUACUGGGCUCCGUGGUGUGCCUGGGAGGGGCCUGGGGCUGCCCCCUGAGUAGCCCCGAUGUCACCGGAGAAGGCAAGCAUUGCGCUGCCCUCGCUCCAACGCGUGUGCACAUGCCAGGCAGUCUCGGAUGAAUCAUGUCCACACCGUGCUAUUACUAGGCUUGUAACAGAGGCCCUGUGUGCUGGCUUGGGGUAUAGUGUUUCUUUCCAUUCCAUGAUUCAGAAAACAUCAGUCACUCAGCCAUGUGAUUCCCUCAUCUUCCGCCAAGGAGCUGAGCACAGAGGUUUGCUGGGAAACCCUCAAAGGACAGGGGAGGGCAGCUGUGUGUGGUUGCCAGAAAGGGGAUUGAGCUGAGAGAACUGGAAACAGGAACUGGAGAGACUGUCAUCAGGAAAAGAGCAUCAGGGGACUCAGGUGUGAUGAGGCCAGAGCCCUGCCCACGAGAGCAGCUGCUGGCAGAUGAAGGGAGCUCACUCAGCUAUACACUACCCCAGCCCCAGAAAAAACAAUGAUUCUUGGGCCUUAUUAUAAAUGUAAAGUUUGCUUAUGCAAAAUUCUGAUCAGCACAGAAAGUUGUAAAAAAGAAAGGACAUACCUCUCACAUGUUGCUACCAGACACAGUUUUAAAUUGUUGGCACACAUCUCUGUGCUUGGAACUGCCAGGUUCUGGCCCUCCAAACUACUGACCAGCCGGGGUCUGAUCCGGGCUCCUGCCCCAGUCCUCAGGGGACUGUCCUGCCUCAGGGGACACUGAGCUCCAAAUGCCCUUGGAGAUGGGCCAGGUCUGGGCUCUGGCAUCUGGGUUCUAGUCCCAAUUUGGUUGUGUGCCCUUAGGCAAAUCACUCUGAGUCCUAUUUGUGCGGUUACAAAUGGAAUAAUAGGGACUCCCCAGAUUGCCCACUGGUUAAGACUCCAUGCUCCCAAGGCAGGGGGGCCUGGUUUCAAUCCCCGGUCAGGGCACUGAGACCUCACAUGCCAGAACUAAGACCCAGGAAAGUGAAAAAGUGAAAGUCGCUCAGUUGUGUCUGACUCUUUGUGAUCCCAUGGACUCUACUGUCCAUGGAAUUCUCCAGACCAGAACACUGGAGUGGGUAGCCUUUUCCUUCUCCAGGGGAUCUUCCCAACCCUGGGAUUGAACCCAGGUCUCCUGCAUUGCAGGCAGAGUCUAGACCCAGGGUAGCCAAUAAAUAAAUAAAACAAAUAUUUUUUAAAAAUAGGAUAAGAAUUGGGCUGAUUUGUCCAGAGGAUGAAGCAUAUGAGGGGAUAUGAAAACUGUAAACCUGCAGAAUCUCUUCAAACAGAAGGGGAGGGCCUGCAUGAUGCCCAUUCUCUUGGGGAGGCUCCUUUAUCUAGGGGCAGCCUUGAGCCAGCUCUCUUGCUCCACAGCAGAAACUGGUCUGCCCAUGUUGACCAAAGGCCUUCCCCCAACCCCGGACUGGCUCAGAGCAGGGAAGCCUCAGUUUGGGAUCCCCAGUCAUGCCAGUACCACCUCUGAACACCAGUUGAGCACCAGAGUGGGCAGGCACCUGGUUCAGAAAGCUUCAAAACCUUGUUGUGUCGCCAGCUUUGCACCCAGGUAACUGUCUUCCUUUAUCUCCCUCACAGAUACUGUCACCCCAGCGGGGCCCGUUCUCAGAGCCAUCACUGCUCAGAAGCCUCGUUUGAUUUCAGGGACCUUUGCGGAUGCCCCAAGCGUUGUAUCAGUUUACACUGCAGUGAUUUGUAGUAAAUCCUUGUGUUCUUGUGGAGGGACGGUAAUGACAAUAUAAGACCAUUAGAUCGGCUAUUUCCAAACUUUUUUUUUUUUUUUAAGAUGUUUAUUUAUUUAUUUGGCUGCACUGGGUCUUUCUUCGUUGUUAUACUUGGGCUUUCUCUAGUUGCGGUGAGCAGGGGCCACACUUCAUUGCUGUGUGGGCUUCUCGUUGCAGUGACUUCUGGUUGCGGAGGGCAGGCUCAGUGGUUACGUCACACACUUAGUUGUUCUGCAGAAUAUGGGAUCUUCCUGGACCAGGGAUCGAACCCAUGUCCCUUGCACUGCAGGGUGGAUUCUCAACCACGGACCCACCAGGGAAGCCCCUCCAAAGUACUUCUUACAUUCACCCCUGUAACACACUAAAAGGGCUUGGGUUAUUGGGAUUAUCACCCUUCUCAUCUCACAGAAUUGAGCCAAGGAGGCUCAGGGGACACGUGUCUCUGAAUAACACAGUAUUUCCUUGUGACUCUGUUUCCCCGGGUCUCUGCCUCCCAGCCCCCCUGGAGCCAAACCAGCUGGGACCCUGUCCCUCCUGGUUCACACACAUCUAGUCCAGAGGCAGGAAGCCCCGGGGCCAGCGAGGCCCUUUCCACAUGGCUCCCCACAGCAGGGCCCAGUGCAGACCACUACAGCCAAGCAAUCCCACAUUACGUCCCCAGGCACCUCUGCUCACCGACGGUCCCCAGGUAGAUUCUGGAGAUGGUGACCCUGGGUGUACAUCCAAGUUUUUCCACAAAAACAAGACCUUCCCAGUUCAUGUGUCUAGGCGUUGACCUCAGUUCCCCUACGGAGGCCCUGUUCCCAC
Bos taurus (domestic cattle) is the source of this 5884-nucleotide long non-coding RNA. The record is from Ensembl. Lineage: Eukaryota; Metazoa; Chordata; Mammalia; Artiodactyla; Bovidae.